UCAGGAAAGGGGCUGGGGAUGUUUGGUUUACCUUAACACCCUGUGCCAGCUCCUUCGAGCUUUCUGAGCCUAUGCAUCAUGUUAUUGCAGUGAUCUUUCUCAGACUACUUUGAGCUCAGUAUCGGCACAGUCUAUUCAUGCCUAUACUGAAAAUAGGAUUACUUUCUACUUUCCACCUCAAGAGGCAAAUUGGCAUCCACAGAGCAGGAUUUAAGCUGUUAAAGCAUUCCUAUUAAUUAGUCUCCUUUCCAGCAAACUCCCUGGAAGUAGGAAAGGCAGAGAGCUUUGCAGAUGUGCACAGACACUUCACACUGGCCUGAGAUCAAUCUGAUGCAAUGAGACCAUUGGGCUGGUGAAAGUCUACACACAAGGCAUCUUGCUUAAACCAUAAUUACCUUUGUGGUUACUUCCAUUGCUGCCACAGCAUUGUCCCUUUCAGGAUGUCAAUCACCACCUUCCCCCAGGGGACAUUUAUGUUUUCCAGGAGGUUGCAAAGCUUUGCUCACAGGCCAUGGAAGCGCGACAUAGCACGUAAACAUCCAUAAACCCUUCUGAUGCUGACACCAAGCAAGAUCAAAGCUUGCUGGUGACAGUUCAGCGUGGCACAAGGCAGGGUACUCUGCACAGUGCCUCACAUGCCCAAAGGGAGAUAUGUUUUCCCUGUCCUUGGAGUAAGUGGUAUUGAUAGCAACAUCCUUCUUCUCAAGCCAUGAUAAGGGAAGGUGUUAAUUCACCACUGACACCAAGUGCUGAAGUGUUUUAUCUGGAGUACCAGGCAGUAAUACACUUUAGACAGAGAGAUACUAUAUAAAAUGGAGUGGUGACCCAUGGAGGUCUGGAUAGGUGUAAUUAGCUCUGCUGUCACAUAGGAAUGAGCAUGUUUGUACAGAAUAUGUCCAAUUUCUAGCAACACCUGCUCAUUUGCUUUAACCAGACUUCUCAAAGAGGGACUAAUUAACACUUCCUUGGAAGCCCAGCAAUGGCUUUACCUCUCAAUCGGAAUUCCUUCUGCUGGAAGGCAAAUCAGUUACUAUAUCAGGAAAAGCUGAUGGAAGCAGGAAACCAUCUUCAUGCCUAAAAUCAAUUAAAGGAGAAGGCAGAGCUCACUA
Long non-coding RNA from Neopsephotus bourkii (Bourke's parrot), 1109 nucleotides. RefSeq lists it as uncharacterized. NCBI's taxonomy places the organism in Eukaryota, Metazoa, Chordata, Aves, Psittaciformes, Psittacidae. The record is from RefSeq and is a predicted model, not a curated record. The transcript is spliced from 2 exons.